This 301-nucleotide ribosomal RNA is filed under the name uncultured bacterium. RNAcentral's name for it is "partial 16S ribosomal RNA". It matches the Rfam family "Bacterial small subunit ribosomal RNA", at positions 509 to 809 of the family's 1533-position model. The record is from RNAcentral.
CAGCAGCCACGGUAAUACGUAAGGUGCAAGCGUUAAUCGGAAUUACUGGGCGUAAAGCGUGCGCAGGCGGUUAUAUAAGACAGAUGUGAAAUCCCCGGGCUCAACCUGGGAACUGCAUUUGUGACUGUAUAGCUAGAGUACGGCAGAGGGGGAUGGAAUUCCGCGUGUAGCAGUGAAAUGCGUAGAUAUGCGGAGGAACACCGAUGGCGAAGGCAAUCCCCUGGGCCUGUACUGACGCUCAUGCACGAAAGCGUGGGGAGCAAACAGGAUUAGAUACCCGCGUAGUCCCUGUCUCUUAUAA